UCGACGGCAGCACAGAGGAGCUUGCUCCUUGGGUGGCGAGUGGCGGACGGGUGAGUAAUGCAUCGGGAUCUACCCUGACGUGGGGGAUAACCUCGGGAAACCGGGACUAAUACCGCAUACGUCCUACGGGAGAAAGCGGGGGACCUUCGGGCCUCGCGCGGCAGGACGAACCGAUGUGCGAUUAGCUAGUUGGCGGGGUAAUGGCCCACCAAGGCGACGAUCGCUAGCUGGUCUGAGAGGAUGAUCAGCCACACUGGGACUGAGACACGGCCCAGACUCCUACGGGAGGCAGCAGUGGGGAAUAUUGGACAAUGGGCGCAAGCCUGAUCCAGCAAUGCCGCGUGUGUGAAGAAGGCCUUCGGGUUGUAAAGCACUUUUAUCAGGAGCGAAAUACCACGGGUUAAUACCCUAUGGGGCUGACGGUACCUGAGGAAUAAGCACCGGCUAACUUCGUGCCAGCAGCCGCGGUAAUACGAAGGGUGCAAGCGUUAAUCGGAAUUACUGGGCGUAAAGGGUGCGUAGGCGGUUACUUAAGUCUGUCGUGAAAUCCCCGGGCUCAACCUGGGAAUGGCGAUGGAUACUGGGUGGCUAGAGUGUGUCAGAGGAUGGUGGAAUUCCCGGUGUAGCGGUGAAAUGCGUAGAGAUCGGGAGGAACAUCAGUGGCGAAGGCGGCCAUCUGGGACAACACUGACGCUGAAGCACGAAAGCGUGGGGAGCAAACAGGAUUAGAUACCCUGGUAGUCCACGCCCUAAACGAUGCGAACUGGAUGUUGGUCUCAACUCGGAGAUCAGUGUCGAAGCUAACGCGUUAAGUU
This 815-nucleotide ribosomal RNA is filed under the name uncultured bacterium. RNAcentral describes it as "bacterial SSU rRNA". It matches the Rfam family "Bacterial small subunit ribosomal RNA", at positions 62 to 866 of the family's 1533-position model. The record is from RNAcentral.